UACGGAGGGUGCAAGCGUUAUCCGGAUUUACUGGGUUUAAAGGGUGUGUAGGCGGGCUUUUAAGUCAGUGGUGAAAUCUCCGGGCUUAACCUGGAAACUGCCAUUGAUACUAUUAGUCUUGAAUUCUGUUGAGGUAGGCGGAAUAUGUCAUGUAGCGGUGAAAUGCUUAGAUAUGACAUAGAACACCAAUUGCGAAGGCAGCUUACUAAACAGACAUUGACGCUGAGGCACGAAAGCGUGGGGAUCAAACAGG
Molecule: ribosomal RNA, 253 nt
Filed under: uncultured bacterium
Lineage: Bacteria
Description: partial 16S ribosomal RNA
Rfam family: Bacterial small subunit ribosomal RNA
Source: RNAcentral